Molecule: unclassified non-coding RNA, 341 nt
Filed under: Ascomycota sp.
Lineage: Eukaryota; Fungi; Ascomycota
Description: partial contains small subunit ribosomal RNA, internal transcribed spacer 1, and 5.8S ribosomal RNA
Rfam family: Eukaryotic small subunit ribosomal RNA (bases 1-47)
Source: RNAcentral
AAAGUCGUAACAAGGUUUCCGUAGGUGAACCUGCGGAAGGAUCAUUACUGAGGUGCCCCGGCGCAAGCUGGGGAGAACCCGACCUAUUGUCAUUUGCACGUUGGGGAGGAACGGUUGGCGUGUUGGCGUGUGGCUUGUGACGGAUUGUACCCGAGAGGGUGGAUCCGGAGCGGCCCGCGCUGCGGCUGCCGCCCUGACGAACCUGAACUUCGGCGGAAGAGGUAGGCUGGACCUGCCCGCCGCCGGCCGUAACUUAUUUUACUCUGCAACGAGAAUCUGAAGCCUGAUACACAAGAACAAAAUGAAAAGCAAAACUUUCAACAACGGAUCUCUUGGCUCUG